CUGAGUUAGCCCCCUGGGGGCUGUGCCUUUGUCCCGAUUGUGUGUCUCCGCCACAGCAGAGCCGGGCAGCCCCCAGAGAGUGGGGAGGCCAACGUGUAUCCAGCGCCCUGGCACCUGAAGAUCAGAGGUGGUGAGAGGUGGCGCAUCAAGCACAGUCCUGAUGACACCAUCCUAUGGCCACCACCCUGAGCCUACUGUGGCUCCUGAGACCUUUCUCCUGUUUGUCAACCUGGUUCAGAGUGCCCCAGCUUCCAAGCCUGAAAGCUGAUACUGACUCCAAUUCUUAGAGUUUGAAUUUAGGCAAAAGUAGUUGGAGACAGCUGCCAAUGCUUUGACUCUACCCUGCUGCUUCAUCUCAACUCUGGGCACUGUCCAGCAGGGGCCCAAGCCCCCCCUCCCACCUCUGGCAGCCUAUUAACUUCUUAUUUGGGGAGUUGAGGGAUCUAAUAGCCCUUUGGCUUAUAGACUGGGCAUUCUCUGCAGGGUGCUCUUUAUGGAAACCCAAAGCUUUUCAGGUGCCUCUUCCCCAGGAUCAAUAGGUUUUUAUUUCUUCCCCUAGGGUGAGGAAUCAGAACUGAGAUGGUGCUAGCUUGGCAGGUGGAAAGGAAGGGAAAGGGAUGUCGUUGCAGGACUGAGCAGUUCCUGGCUCCAUUCCCCUACCCCUACACAUAUCCCAAAGGUGGUGGGAGGCACCAACAGCAGAAGAGGCCUGAACAGGAGAGGAGGGAAUAGGGGAGAAGGGGAAAUUCUCAAGCUGGCUGGGAGCAGUUGUUGCUCUUAGGGGAUAGGUUGGGUGUUUCACAGCUCCCCUUGCCCUUCUGAUCCUCCCCUGUGGGGAGGGGUUAGGAUUAGGGACAGACAUUAGAGCUUAGAAGGGGUUAGUGUUUGUCUGAAGUUAGGGUUAAGGCUAAGGUUCAACCUAGACCUAGGAACAGGAAGAGGGUUAGAGUUAGAGAUAGGUUUAGGGCCGUGGGUAGGAUUAGAACUCCCACUGACUCUGGUGAAUGUGCACACAGAGGUAUCACACUGGUGGUGUUAGUAACAAAAUCCUCAUUCUGGUUCUUUAUGGGAAUGGCUAGCUUAGUAGUUUGGUUAUGGACCACAUUAGGGUUUCCUUUGGUUACAUCGGUUUAAGCCUAGCCUGCAUUUGGAUUCUAGCCUACCUGCUCCCUUCUCUCCCACCAGCAUCUCUGAGCUUCUCGGUCCAGCACCAGGCUCAUCACCUAUUAUCUGGAUCUCCCUGAGCCCAAGAUUGGGAGUGGGGCUCCUGAUAAGAGGUGGGGCUGCCUGUGUGGCCCAG
RNAcentral lists this long non-coding RNA (1300 nucleotides) under Homo sapiens (human). Its description in RNAcentral is "HSALNT0368000". Lineage: Eukaryota; Metazoa; Chordata; Mammalia; Primates; Hominidae. The record is from RNAcentral.